AUGAACGCUGGCGGCGUGCCUAAUACAUGCAAGUCGAGCGAACGGACGAGAAGCUUGCUUCUCUGAUGUUAGCGGCGGACGGGUGAGUAACACGUGGAUAACCUACCUAUAAGACUGGGAUAACUUCGGGAAACCGUAGCUAAUACCGGAUAAUAUUUUGAACCGCAUGGUUCAAAAGUGAAAGACGGUCUUGCUGUCACUUAUAGAUGGAUCCGCGCUGCAUUAGCUAGUUGGUAAGGUAACGGCUUACCAAGGCAACGAUGCAUAGCCGACCUGAGAGGGUGAUCGGCCACACUGGAACUGAGACACGGUCCAGACUCCUACGGGAGGCAGCAGUAGGGAAUCUUCCGCAAUGGGCGAAAGCCUGACGGAGCAACGCCGCGUGAGUGAUGAAGGUCUUCGGAUCGUAAAACUCUGUUAUUAGGGAAGAACAUAUGUGUAAGUAACUGUGCACAUCUUGACGGUACCCAAUCAGAAAGCCACGGCUAACUACGUG
This 496-nucleotide ribosomal RNA is filed under the name uncultured bacterium. RNAcentral's name for it is "partial 16S ribosomal RNA". It matches the Rfam family "Bacterial small subunit ribosomal RNA", at positions 29 to 507 of the family's 1533-position model. The record is from RNAcentral.